Molecule: long non-coding RNA, 305 nt
Organism: Esox lucius (northern pike)
Lineage: Eukaryota; Metazoa; Chordata; Actinopteri; Esociformes; Esocidae
Exons: 3
Source: RefSeq, a predicted model, not a curated record
GCAUGCCCAAUCCUAUUUUACACCUGGAUGAACACGGAACAGUUGGGUGAUGUGUGAAGGCAGCCGGUUCCUUUUCCGGAUAAAUACAGCUGGGCAGAGACAAAGGCUGACAGAGAUAAAGAGACCCAGAGUUUAAGAGCCAAGGUGAUAUGAAGAAACAGAGACAAACAGAGAAAGAGAAUAAUACAGAAACACCAAUAGAGACUAAGGUUUAUGAAGUGUGAUCAGCCAUGGAGAAAAGAGUGUUCCUGAUCAUUCUGUUAUUAGCUGGCUUAUCAAACAAUGUAACAAUUGCUCAGACAACA